AUACGGAGGACGCGAGCGUUAUCCGGAUUCAUUGGGUUUAAAGGGUGCGCAGGCGGUUUGCUAAGCGGGAGGUGAAAUGCCGGCGCUCAACGUCGGAAGUGCCUCCCGAACUGGUGGACUGGAAUGACUCUGCCGUGGGAGGAAUGUGUAGUGUAGCGGUGAAAUGCUUAGAGAUUACACAGAACACCGAUUGCGAAGGCAUCUCACGAAGGGUUGAUUGACGCUGAGGCACGAAAGCGUGGGGAUCAAACAGGAUUAGAUACCCUGGUAGUCCACGCAGUAAACGAUGAUGGCUAACCGCUGGUUUAUUCGGAUCAGUGGCCAAGCGAAAGCGAUAAGCCAUCCACCUGGGGAGUACGACCGCAAGGUUGAAACUCAAAUGAAUUGACGGGG
RNAcentral lists this ribosomal RNA (393 nucleotides) under uncultured bacterium. Its description in RNAcentral is "partial 16S ribosomal RNA". It matches the Rfam family "Bacterial small subunit ribosomal RNA", at positions 523 to 918 of the family's 1533-position model. The record is from RNAcentral.